AUACGGGGGGUGCAAGCGUUAUGCGGAUUUAUUGGGCGUAAAGGGCGCGUAGGCGGCUUGGAAAGUCAGAUGUGAAAGCCCGGGGCUCAACCCCGGAAGUGCAUUUGAAACUAUCAGGCUUGAGUAUGGGAGAGGGAAGUGGAAUUCCUGGUGUAGAGGUGAAAUUCGUAGAUAUCAGGAGGAACACCGGUGGCGAAGGCGACUUCCUGGACCAAUACUGACGCUGAGGCGCGAAGGCGUGGGGAGCAAACAGGAUUAGAUACCCCUGUAGUCC
This 274-nucleotide ribosomal RNA is filed under the name uncultured bacterium. RNAcentral describes it as "partial 16S ribosomal RNA". It matches the Rfam family "Bacterial small subunit ribosomal RNA", at positions 523 to 796 of the family's 1533-position model. The record is from RNAcentral.